CAUCUUCCAUAUUGGUAUUUUUCUCUGGGAAAAGUUUGUGAUAUUUCAAUUUUUCAAGAGAGAACUUGUUUUCAUCGUUGUGAUAAUUAGUUGUGCAAUGGAUUUUAUCGAACGGGAGUUCAUUACAAACACACAGUUUCAAUAUUAGAUGCCAUAGCAAAUCAAAGAUCAUAUAAUAGAAUAAGUCAAAAAACCCAAAUAUGGAAAAAGAAAGAGCUGAAGAAAUGGUGAUUUGAGCACCUAUGCUUUCUCAUAGGUGUAUUUGGAGGUUUCCAUAUUAGAUGCCAUAGCAAAUCAAAGAUCAUAUAAUAAAAUAAGUCAAAAAACCCAAAUAUGGGAAAAGAAAGAGCUGAAGAAAUGGUGAUUUGAGCACCUAUGAUUUCUCAUAGGUGUUUUUUGAGGUUAACUACAUCAGAAAGAUCAAGACAGUUGGAAAUGGCUAUUCAUAUUAUGGAAACUUUUUCUCACAGAGCUUGAUAAUCAGGUAAAAUGCUGGAAGAUUAUUUGAUGUAUGAUAACAACAAGAGAUCCCAAGCACCAAUAUAUUUUAUAAUUCUGGAAAAGAAUGCAUUUGACCCAAUUUUUGAAUAUUUAUUUUUUGUUUUUACUGUUAAAUAUUCUUCCCAAACACAAUUAGAUUUUAAUUCUCUACAGAAAUUUAUGUAUAAUAUAGAAUGUAAAGUGACAUAUUAAUCACUUAGAAUUUGGUCGGAAAUUAUAAAGUAUUUAAUAGGCAUAAUCUAGAAACCAAAUGUAGAUCAAAUAUACCCAGAAUUACAAAAAACCUUGACCUACAUUAAGGUGACUUUCCCUUGCUUAUGAAAUGAAAUAGGGUUUAAGAUCCUACUUUUCUGUGUUAUUAUGGUGAUUCUGCCCUACAACCUACUCUUAUAUCAAAUAUUUCAACUGUCAA
Patella vulgata (common limpet) is the source of this 913-nucleotide long non-coding RNA. RefSeq lists it as uncharacterized. The transcript is spliced from 5 exons. Lineage: Eukaryota; Metazoa; Mollusca; Gastropoda; Patellidae. The record is from RefSeq and is a predicted model, not a curated record.